GGAGCCACCAGGGGGAAAUUGUCCCACAGGGGGAAAACCCUAGACCAGGAACCCCGUGAGAGAGAAGAGCCCUUUGGGGGUUAAACCUCUUUCUCCAGGAGGAGAAGACUCCCUUUUGGGGGUGACGGUACUUGCAGAAGAAGCGCCGGCUAACUACGUGCCAGCAGCCGCGGUAAUACGUAGGGCGCAAGCGUUAUCCGGAAUUAUUGGGCGUAAAGAGCUCGUAGGCGGUUUGUCGCGUCUGCCGUGAAAGUCCGAGGCUCAACCUCGGAUCUGCGGUGGGUACGGGCAGACUAGAGUGAUGUAGGGGAGACUGGAAUUCCUGGUGUAGCGGUGAAAUGCGCAGAUAUCAGGAGGAACACCGAUGGCGAAGGCAGGUCUCUGGGCAUUUACUGACGCUGAGGAGCGAAAGCAUGGGGAGCGAACAGGAUUAGAUACCCUGGUAGUCCAUGCCGUAAACGUUGGGCACUAGGUGUGGGGGACAUUCCACGUUUUCCGCGCCGUAGCUAACGCAUUAAGUGCCCCGCCUGGGGAGUACGGCCGCAAGGCUAAAACUCAAAGGAAUUGACGGGGGCCCGCACAAGCGGCGGAGCAUGCGGAUUAAUUCGAUGCAACGCGAAGAACCUUACCAAGGCUUGACAUGUUCCAGACCGGGCCAGAGAUGGUCUUUCCCCUUUUGGGGCUGGUUCACAGGUGGUGCAUGGUUGUCGUCAGCUCGUGUCGUGAGAUGUUGGGUUAAGUCCCGCAACGAGCGCAACCCUCGUUCCAUGUUGCCAGCGGGUUAUGCCGGGGACUCAUGGGAGACUGCCGGGGUCAACUCGGAGGAAGGUGGGGAUGACGUCAAAUCAUCAUGCCCCUUAUGUCUUGGGCUUCACGCAUGCUACAAUGGCCGGUACAAUGGGUUGCGAUACUGUGAGGUGGAGCUAAUCCCUAAAAGCCGGUCUCAGUUCGGAUUGGGGUCUGCAACUCGACCCCAUGAAGUCGGAGUCGCUAGUAAUCGCAGAUCAGCAACGCUGCGGUGAAUACGUUCCCGGGCCUUGUACACACCGCCCGUCAAGUCACGAAAGUUGGUAACACCCGAAGCCGAUGGCCUAACCACCUUGUGUGGGGGGAGUCGUCG
This 1120-nucleotide ribosomal RNA is filed under the name Arthrobacter sp. RNAcentral describes it as "bacterial SSU rRNA". It matches the Rfam family "Bacterial small subunit ribosomal RNA", at positions 344 to 1458 of the family's 1533-position model. The record is from RNAcentral. Lineage: Bacteria; Bacillati; Actinomycetota; Actinomycetes; Micrococcales; Micrococcaceae.